GGGGAUAUAACUCAGUUGGUAGAGUGCUUGCCUUGCAUGCAUGUGGGUUCAAUCCCCA
Molecule: transfer RNA, 58 nt
Filed under: Marmota marmota marmota (Alpine marmot)
Lineage: Eukaryota; Metazoa; Chordata; Mammalia; Rodentia; Sciuridae
Also listed under: 3 other names
Rfam family: tRNA
About the family: Transfer RNA (tRNA) molecules are approximately 80 nucleotides in length.
Source: Rfam by way of RNAcentral